UGCAAGUCGAACGGCAGCACGGGAGCAAUCCUGGUGGCGAGUGGCGAACGGGUGAGUAAUAUAUCGGAACGUGCCCAGUCGUGGGGGAUAACGUAGCGAAAGCUACGCUAAUACCGCAUACGAUCUAUGGAUGAAAGCGGGGGAUCGCAAGACCUCGCGCGAUUGGAGCGGCCGAUAUCAGAUUAGGUAGUUGGUGAGGUAAAGGCUCACCAAGCCGACGAUCUGUAGCUGGUCUGAGAGGACGACCAGCCACACUGGGACUGAGACACGGCCCAGACUCCUACGGGAGGCAGCAGUGGGGAAUUUUGGACAAUGGGCGCAAGCCUGAUCCAGCAAUGCCGCGUGCAGGAUGAAGGCCUUCGGGUUGUAAACUGCUUUUGUACGGAACGAAACGGUGAGCUCUAAUACAGUUUGCGAGUGAGGGUACCGUAAGAAUAAGCACCGGCUAACUACGUGCCAGCAGCCGCGGUAAUACGUAGGGUGCGAGCGUUAAUCGGAAUUACUGGGCGUAAAGCGUGCGCAGGCGGUGAUGUAAGACAGAUGUGAAAUGCCCGGGCUCAACCUGGGACCUGCAUUUGUGACUGCAUCGCUAGAGUACGGUAGAGGGGGAUGGAAUUCCGCGUGUAGCAGUGAAAUGCGUAGAUAUGCGGAGGAACACCGAUGGCGAAGGCAAUCUUCUGGACCUGUACUGACGCUCAUG
RNAcentral lists this ribosomal RNA (700 nucleotides) under uncultured bacterium. RNAcentral's name for it is "bacterial SSU rRNA". It matches the Rfam family "Bacterial small subunit ribosomal RNA", at positions 56 to 751 of the family's 1533-position model. The record is from RNAcentral.